GACGAACGCUGGCGGCGUGCUUAACACAUGCAAGUCGAGCGGUAAGGCCCUUUCGGGGGUACACGAGCGGCGAACGGGUGAGUAACACGUGGGUGACCUGCCUCUAGCUCUGGGAUAAGCCUGGGAAGCUGGGUCUAAUACCGGAUAUGACCUCGCGGUGCAUGUUGCGGGGUGGAAAGCCUUGUGCGGCUAGGGAUGGGCCCGCGGCCUAUCAGCUUGUUGGUGGGGUGANGGCCUACCAAGGCGACGACGGGUAGCCGGCCUGAGAGGGCGACCGGCCACACUGGGACUGAGACACGGUCCAGACUCCUACGGGAGGCAGCAGUGGGGAAUCUUGCGCAAUGGGCGAAAGCCUGACGCAGCGACGCCGCGUGAGGGAUGACGGCCU
RNAcentral lists this ribosomal RNA (388 nucleotides) under uncultured bacterium. RNAcentral describes it as "bacterial SSU rRNA". It matches the Rfam family "Bacterial small subunit ribosomal RNA", at positions 28 to 417 of the family's 1533-position model. The record is from RNAcentral.